UCUUGAUUGGUCUAGUGGUUAGGAUACCUGCUUGUCAUUUGAUAAGGACGAGCCGCAGGUGGCCGGGGUUCGAUUCCCCGAUCGAGAG
Xylariaceae sp. AK1471 is the source of this 88-nucleotide non-coding RNA. The record is from the annotation of a GenBank genome assembly. NCBI's taxonomy places the organism in Eukaryota, Fungi, Ascomycota, Sordariomycetes, Xylariales, Xylariaceae.